AGCAAACGACCGCUGCUAGACAAGAAGUGCUUAAAGCAAGGGUCGCUAUAACCACAUAUGUCACACGAAAUGAAGGCCACUGAGUAUACAGGCGGUUUACUUCAUAUCCGACAAGCUUGGUUCUCCCUUUGCUAGUGAGUGAACUCAACUUGCCCCGAAUACAUGGCCUGUGACAAACUAUGUGCCAGAUGCUGUGUCCCCUGCAAAGCUGAAGAUGUGUAUGAGAUCCUGACACCCUGCAGCGGCUUCUACACUGGGCAAACAGGCUACUAUAAAAAUGACUGCCUUUACUAAUAUGCUAAUAACAUGAAAACGGGCAGAAAUUUGGCUAUUCGUUGGACCCAACUGCAGGUGCAAGCCACCCUUCCACCAUAUGUGUGUUGUUCACAGAAACUGGAGAUAUACAAAUGCAGAUAAAAACAAUGAUGUUUGAAAGUAGUAGAGCUGCACUAUAUUCUGCACAAGCAGUGCUAUCUGCAGCACUGGUUCUCUAUAGCCACAAAUUCAUGGCUGCACCACCAUGCAAAGGCACUAUUCUUGAAUUAUUAACUUCUAUUAUAUUUAUGGUGGCCAUAUAUUGCAAUUACAUAUCAUCCACAUUGUGUGCAAUAUGGUUAAAUGUCAAUUAUGAUAGCCAUUCCUAAUCUGAAAUGCAACAAAAGAGCAAAUAUAGGCAACAAAUUGCAAUUCAAAGAGACAAAAGGCAACCAGUGCACAGGAUAAGUGACAGACUUCCUUUUAUUGAAAAAGAAACGUGACGUGUCAUGCCACCACCAGUGGGUAGCAAUCUUUCAAGCUUGGGUGACAGAGGCAAAUCUUAGCAAAAUGCUACAAUCACACUGUAAAACGGCCUUGGACACAAAAAACCGACAUCAUAUUGUACAGAAUGAAAGGGCAAGACUUCAUCUAAGAACAGUCUAUGGCACCACAUGCUUGAAAUGGUGUGAAAAAUGUUGACAUGCCCUACCUAUAAAGAAAAAGCAACAAACACAGAAAACACGCCUUAAAAUGCAAUGUGCAGAGUCUGAAACCAAGAAAAAACAACCCGAAAAAGGUUUCGCUAAGUCUUUCAAUGAUUAGAAUUGUCAAACUGUAUCAUCACUUCUUAAUGAACCUGCACAGCUGAAAAGGAAGGAAGGAAAGCGCAAUAGCAGGGCUGCAGAAAAUGUCACCGAAUAAAUAUACUUUGCUUACCAACAAUACCUGUGGUUUAGUUGUGGUCUGUGUAUAAACUAAUUGUGUAUAAACUUUUCUUGUUUAGAAUGGCUGAGCGGAUAGGGAAAAAAUGACCAUAAGAGCACCAGGUGUAUGCAGUCUACGCACAAAAAGCCACUGCUUUCUUACUUUUUUUUCUCUGUAUUACUAUUCAUGAGUAUUUCGGUGCCUUAUUAGCACUGCUAACAUCCCACUGCAAAACACAAAAUUGGGCAACUUGUGGCAUAAAGAAAAUUGCAGUUUCACUCAUAAUGUGAAACAAUGAUGCAGUAGCUGGUGAAAUAUGCACAGGAAGCUUGCUUCAUGCAGUGUUUGCUGAAGUGAACACUUGCCAAUGCAAGUCGGUAAUCUCCUUAAAAUAGCAAAAUAAGUAAGAGUCCCAUUUAUUUGUGGGAGCUGUGCCUCAGUGUUGAAGUGGAAAGACUCGGCUUUUCUUCCUCCUCUUUCAUAUCCGGACUUAGCCACUGAUCUACACCGAAACUACCCUUUAGCUUCUUACUGCUGAAUUCGUUUUGGUUUUCUCAAAUCUAUAUUUGGGCUACGCAUUGCUAUGUCUCGUGCUUUGCUUGAGGAAAACAAGACACCAACAGCUCCAUCCAGUAAAUCUGAGAAGCCAAGCACUAGAAGAAGAUUAAUGAAGCAGAUGCACCCAAUCAUUGUCAUCACAUGCAAGAAGAAAACUUAACAUAGGACUGCCUUCACAAGUGGGAAGGUGAUGUGUAAGAACUUGAAGGUGUGGAUGCCAGCUCUACAUACAGUAUGCAGACAUUGAGCAGGUGUUAGCCAAUCUAGGCACCUGUUGGCUAGAUUACGUUCUCCGGUAUCAGUAUUCACCACGGAAAGUGUCUGCGUUCACCCGGUCGACGGAACGCAGGCGUUAGGUUCACCCAAACGUCACGUCCGGGAUGUCGCAUUCAUUCUUUGUUUUUUCGCGUCCGUGAUGUCACAUCCGUCUUUGGUUUUGGCGGCAGAACGGCAAGCUCAAAGGUGAGCUACGCUCAAACAACUGGACAAAGAUGUGGAUCGUUUAUUUUUCGGGGUUUGUGCUAGCGUAAGCUAUCGUGGCCAAAGAACGUAAUCGGAAGAGGUGACGAGACGAAUGCGUUCUUCGUGGUUAGGAAAAGAAUUGCCAGUGGCAUCCAGUUGUGUGAGGCGCUGACGACAAGAGAUAGAAGCAGACGCCAAAGAAGUCCCACCCCAAGAUGAGUUCAUGGGUCACUCACGAAAUACCGCAAAAACAAUGUGGUGAAGAAUUUAGUCUAUGGACACACGAACAGUACACGGUGCGAUUGGACGAAUAAUAACGUUGGCUGCUGCACAAAGAGAAAGGCGGGAGUAAGGCAAUUCUUGUGUUUUAUAGAGUCCCGAACAGUCACAUGGCAAUAAUCGCCAAGCGUCUUGUAACAUGGAGCCACCUCAGAAUUGCACCAAACAAAGAUGAUGGAUGCAGCCAGUCUUGCCAGAUAACUACAUUUUGACUAUUCUGUAUUGUUUGCAUUUAUUGUGCAAAAGGAAUUCUCGCAGAGAGUUUUAUCUUCAGUGGCCUUCAGUUGACGUCAUCUGCUACAACUAGCACAUAAGUUAACUCCAUAGCACCACUAGGAUGGAGACAUUGUGUCGUGGGAUGCUUCCUUAAAAGUGGACAAGAAGAUUCUAAAGGAAAAGUGUGAGAUGGUCACAGUAAUAACCAAGGCAUUUGGCAUGGGAAUGACCCAGCUAUGAAGGUAUUAUCAGAUGUGGACAAGCAUAUAAUACACAAUGGUGCCUUGCACGAGUCCCAAGUGUCAAAUGUAAUGAGUAUUGUGCAUUGAAAGGGCCAAAAAUGUUUUGUACAUGCAAGGGAACACUAUGGGCAUUUGAUAGCAGUUGCUUAGAUGUACUACAUUAAAAGGAACCAAACGAAUUCCCUUAGACAUAAGCAUGCAGCAAAUUCAAGGACUAGAUGAAGCUUCAAAGAAACUGCAUUUCAUGUAGGAUAGGUGUGAAUGACCUUUGUGCAUGAGAUCAGUGACAAAAACACUAAAUGAAUGCAGUACAGUGUCUGUAUCAUAUCUUGUGCAGACCAAACUAGCUUGGAGUUUAAGCAUUCCUUGUCAGUACAUUUAAAUAGGCACUACAUUGUUCAAAGUGCAAUAUUGUUCUACAAAACAUAAUAUGCAAGAUGUAGCAUGCUAACCCUUGUGGCUCAACAACUACUGAACCGAAACCUCAAUGAGCAGUGAAGCGUCCUUGUAAUUUUCAUCGUAACCAUACUUUUGCUCUUGAAAGUGAACCUCUUUAGUGAAUUUGCUUGUGUAUUAAUUUUUCUUUAGGCAAGUAUUUUUUAUACAUGUUAAUGUCUCAAUCCUGCUUUCUCUUUCCGGAGCUAAAACAAAAUGCCUCUUAUUUCAGUUUGAUCUUUUGACCUAGGAAGCCAUCAUCAGGUGCUGUGUACAGCAAGCACAUGCUUCGGGCAAGGAGGGAGCGAGCACCAUAUCUACAUCAGCAAGAACCUCGGUGCUCAAAAUAAAAAUUUUCUGUGCAAA
Non-coding RNA from Dermacentor andersoni, 3740 nucleotides. Lineage: Eukaryota; Metazoa; Arthropoda; Arachnida; Ixodida; Ixodidae. The record is from RefSeq and is a predicted model, not a curated record.